CUUUCGGGCGGGGAUUAGUGGCGAACGGGUGAGUAACACGUGGGCAAUCUGCCCUGCACUCUGGGACAAGCCCUGGAAACGGGGUCUAAUACCGGAUAUGACCGUCUGCCGCAUGGUGGAUGGUGUAAAGCUCCGGCGGUGCAGGAUGAGCCCGCGGCCUAUCAGCUUGUUGGUGAGGUAGUGGCUCACCAAGGCGACGACGGGUAGCCGGCCUGAGAGGGCGACCGGCCACACUGGGACUGAGACACGGCCCAGACUCCUACGGGAGGCAGCAGUGGGGAAUAUUGCACAAUGGGCGAAAGCCUGAUGCAGCGACGCCGCGUGAGGGAUGACGGCCUUCGGGUUGUAAACCUCUUUCAGCAGGGAAGAAGCGAAAGUGACGGUACCUGCAGAAGAAGCGCCGGCUAACUACGUGCCAGCAGCCGCGGUAAUACGUAGGGCGCAAGCGUUGUCCGGAAUUAUUGGGCGUAAAGAGCUCGUAGGCGGCUUGUCACGUCGGUUGUGAAAGCCCGGGGCUUAACCCCGGGUCUGCAGUCGAUACGGGCAGGCUAGAGUUCGGUAGGGGAGAUCGGAAUUCCUGGUGUAGCGGUGAAAUGCGCAGAUAUCAGGAGGAACACCGGUGGCGAAGGCGGAUCUCUGGGCCGAUACUGACGCUGAGGAGCGAAAGCGUGGGGAGCGAACAGGAUUAGAUACCCUGGUAGUCCACGCCGUAAACGGUGGGCACUAGGUGUGGGCAACAUUCCACGUUGUCCGUGCCGCAGCUAACGCAUUAAGUGCCCCGCCUGGGGAGUACGGCCGCAAAGGCUAAAACUCAAAGGAAUUGACGGGGGCUC
Molecule: ribosomal RNA, 833 nt
Filed under: Streptomyces albidoflavus
Lineage: Bacteria; Bacillati; Actinomycetota; Actinomycetes; Kitasatosporales; Streptomycetaceae
Description: bacterial SSU rRNA
Rfam family: Bacterial small subunit ribosomal RNA
Source: RNAcentral